CAGUAGCCGCGGUAAUACGUAGGGUGCAAGCGUUAAUCGGAAUUACUGGGCGUAAAGCGUGCGCAGGCGGUUAUAUAAGACAGAUGUGAAAUCCCCGGGCUCAACCUGGGAACUGCAUUUGUGACUGUAUAGCUAGAGUACGGCAGAGGGGGAUGGAAUUCCGCGUGUAGCAGUGAAAUGCGUAGAUAUGCGGAGGAACACCGAUGGCGAAGGCAAUCCCCUGGGCCUGUACUGACGCUCAUGCACGAAAGCGUGGGGAGCAAACAGGAUUAGAUACCCGAGUAGUCCCUGUCUCUUAACC
Molecule: ribosomal RNA, 301 nt
Filed under: uncultured bacterium
Lineage: Bacteria
Description: partial 16S ribosomal RNA
Rfam family: Bacterial small subunit ribosomal RNA
Source: RNAcentral